CCGGUUGAUCCUGCCGGAGGCCACUGCUAUGGGGGUCCGACUAAGCCAUGCGAGUCAUGGGGCGCGCUCUGCGCGCACCGGCGGACGGCUCAGUAACACGUCGGUAACCUACCCUCGGGAGGGGGAUAACCCCGGGAAACUGGGGCUAAUCCCCCAUAGGUCUGAGGUACUGGAAGGUCCUCAGGCCGAAAGGGGCUUUGCCCGCCCGAGGAUGGGCCGGCGGCCGAUUAGGUAGUUGGUGGGGUAACGGCCCACCAAGCCGAAGAUCGGUACGGGCCAUGAGAGUGGGAGCCCGGAGAUGGACACUGAGACACGGGUCCAGGCCCUACGGGGCGCAGCAGGCGCGAAACCUCCGCAAUGCGGGAAACCGCGACGGGGGGACCCCCAGUGCCGUGGCAUCGCCACGGCUUUUCCGGAGUGUAAAGAGCUCCGGGAAUAAGGGCUGGGCAAGGCCGGUGGCAGCCGCCGCGGUAAUACCGGCGGCCCGAGUGGUGGCCGCUAUUAUUGGGCCUAAAGCGUCCGUAGCCGGGCCUGUAAGUCCCUGGCGAAAUCCCACGGCUCAACCGUGGGGCUUGCUGGGGAUACUGCAGGCCUUGGGACCGGGAGAGGCGGAGGGUACUCCUGGGGUAGGGGUGAAAUCCUAUAAUCCUAGGAGGACCGCCAGUGGCGAAGGCGCUCCGCUGGAACGGGUCCGACGGUGAGGGACGAAGGCCAGGGGAGCAAACCGGAUUAGAUACCCGGGUAGUCCUGGCUGUAAAGGAUGCGGGCUAGGUGUCGGGUGAGCUUCGGGCUCGCCCGGUGCCGAAGGGAAGCCGUUAAGCCCGCCGCCUGGGGAGUACGGCCGCAAGGCUGAAACUUAAAGGAAUUGGCGGGGGAGCACUACAAGGGGUGGAGCGUGCGGUUUA
This 905-nucleotide ribosomal RNA is filed under the name uncultured archaeon. RNAcentral's name for it is "bacterial SSU rRNA". It matches the Rfam family "Archaeal small subunit ribosomal RNA", at positions 4 to 904 of the family's 1478-position model. The record is from RNAcentral.